CUUCACUGCCGCACAGGCAGCUGAGAAA
Molecule: non-coding RNA, 28 nt
Organism: Desulfobulbus sp. Tol-SR
Lineage: Bacteria; Pseudomonadati; Thermodesulfobacteriota; Desulfobulbia; Desulfobulbales; Desulfobulbaceae
Source: Rfam